This 448-nucleotide ribosomal RNA is filed under the name Escherichia coli. RNAcentral describes it as "partial 23S ribosomal RNA". It matches the Rfam family "Bacterial large subunit ribosomal RNA", at positions 344 to 797 of the family's 2925-position model. The record is from RNAcentral. Lineage: Bacteria; Pseudomonadati; Pseudomonadota; Gammaproteobacteria; Enterobacterales; Enterobacteriaceae.
GGAAAGGCGCGCGAUACAGGGUGACAGCCCCGUACACAAAAAUGCACAUGCUGUGAGCUCGAUGAGUAGGGCGGGACACGUGGUAUCCUGUCUGAAUAUGGGGGGACCAUCCUCCAAGGCUAAAUACUCCUGACUGACCGAUAGUGAACCAGUACCGUGAGGGAAAGGCGAAAAGAACCCCGGCGAGGGGAGUGAAAAAGAACCUGAAACCGUGUACGUACAAGCAGUGGGAGCACGCUUAGGCGUGUGACUGCGUACCUUUUGUAUAAUGGGUCAGCGACUUAUAUUCUGUAGCAAGGUUAACCGAAUAGGGGAGCCGAAGGGAAACCGAGUCUUAACUGGGCGUUAAGUUGCAGGGUAUAGACCCGAAACCCGGUGAUCUAGCCAUGGGCAGGUUGAAGGUUGGGUAACACUAACUGGAGGACCGAACCGACUAAUGUUGAAAAAU